AGCUCCAAUAGCGUAUCUUAAUGUUGUUGCAGUUAAAAAGCUCGUAGUCGAAUUUCUGACCGAGGCAGUUCAGUAUGACUGUUACUAACCUUAGGUCAUCCGCUUGAAAAUUUUGAUGGUGCUUCACCGCUCCUCUUUAGGAUCAGGCAUUUUACUUUGAAGAAAUUAGAGUGUUUCAGGCAGGCUUAGCUUGAAUACACCAGCAUGGAAUAAUGGAAUAGGACCUCUAUCCUUUACUGGUUAAUGAUAUAGGUAAUGAUUAACAGGGACAGUUGGGGGCAUUCGUACUUCGAAGUCAGAGGUGAAAUUCUUCGAUUUUCGAAAGACGAACUAAUGCGAAGGCAUCUGCCAAGGAUGUUUUCA
Molecule: ribosomal RNA, 363 nt
Filed under: uncultured eukaryote
Lineage: Eukaryota
Description: SSU rRNA
Rfam family: Eukaryotic small subunit ribosomal RNA
Source: RNAcentral